RNAcentral lists this ribosomal RNA (4041 nucleotides) under Pasteurella multocida subsp. multocida OH4807. RNAcentral's name for it is "bacterial LSU rRNA". It matches the Rfam family "Bacterial large subunit ribosomal RNA". The record is from RNAcentral. Lineage: Bacteria; Pseudomonadati; Pseudomonadota; Gammaproteobacteria; Pasteurellales; Pasteurellaceae.
GUAUAGUUAAGUGACUAAGCGUACACGGUGGAUGCCUAGGCAAUCAGAGGCGAAGAAGGACGUGCUAAUCUGCGAAAAGCUUGGAUGAGUUGAUAAGAAGCGUUUAAUCCAAGAUAUCCGAAUGGGGAAACCCAGUAGAUGAAGAAUCUACUAUCAUUAACUGAAUCCAUAGGUUAAUGAGGCGAACCGGGAGAACUGAAACAUCUAAGUACCCCGAGGAAAAGAAAUCAACCGAGAUUCUGUGAGUAGCGGCGAGCGAAAGCGGAGGAGCCUGUUAGUAAUAGCGACAAAGACAGAGGAAUGAGCUGGGAAGCUCAGCGAGACAGGGUGAUAGCCCCGUACUUGAAGUGUUUGUUGUGGUACUGAGCUAACGAUAAGUAAGGCGGGACACGAGAAAUCCUGUUUGAAGAUGGGGGGACCAUCCUCCAAGGCUAAAUACUCCUGAUUGACCGAUAGUGAACCAGUACUGUGAAGGAAAGGCGAAAAGAACCCCGGUGAGGGGAGUGAAAUAGAACCUGAAACCGUGUACGUACAAGCAGUGGGAGCCUGAAAGGGUGACUGCGUACCUUUUGUAUAAUGGGUCAGCGACUUAUAUUUUGUAGCGAGGUUAACUGAAUAAGGGAGCCGAAGGGAAACCGAGUCUUAACUGGGCGUUGAGUUGCAAGGUAUAGACCCGAAACCCGGUGAUCUAGCCAUGGGCAGGUUGAAGGUUGGGUAACACUAACUGGAGGACCGAACCGACUAAUGUUGAAAAAUUAGCGGAUGACUUGUGGCUGGGGGUGAAAGGCCAAUCAAACCGGGAGAUAGCUGGUUCUCCCCGAAAUCUAUUUAGGUAGAGCCUUGAGCGGACACCUUCGGGGGUAGAGCACUGUUUCGGCUAGGGGUCCAUCCCGGAUUACCAACCCGAUGCAAACUGCGAAUACCGAAGAGUGAUACUCAGGAGACACACGGCGGGUGCUAACGUUCGUCGUGGAGAGGGAAACAACCCAGACCGCCAGCUAAGGUCCCAAAGUCUAUAUUAAGUGGGAAACGAAGUGGGAAGGCUUAGACAGCUAGGAUGUUGGCUUAGAAGCAGCCAUCAUUUAAAGAAAGCGUAAUAGCUCACUAGUCGAGUCGGCCUGCGCGGAAGAUGUAACGGGGCUAAAUAUAGCACCGAAGCUGCGGCAUCAGUAGAAAUACUGUUGGGUAGGGGAGCGUUGUGUAAGCGGAUGAAGGUGAAUCGAGAGGUUUGCUGGACGUAUCACAAGUGCGAAUGCUGACAUAAGUAACGAUAAAACGAGUGAAAAACUCGUUCGCCGGAAGACCAAGGGUUCCUGUCCAACGUUAAUCGGGGCAGGGUGAGUCGGCCCUAAGGCGAGGCUGAAAAGCGUAGUCGAUGGGAAACGGGUUAAUAUUCCCGUACUUGGAUAAACUGCGAUGUGGGGGACGGAGAAGGUUAGGUUAUCGACCUGUUGGAUGGUCGUUUAAGGUGGUAGGUGGAAUGUUUAGGCAAAUCCGGACAUUCAUAACACUGAGAGCUGAUGACGAGGUGCUACGGCACUGAAGUAACUGAUACCCUGCCUUCCAGGAAAAGCCACUAAGCUUCAGGUUUAUCUAAACCGUACUGAAAAACCGACACAGGUGGUCAGGUAGAGAAUACUCAGGCGCUUGAGAGAACUCGGGUGAAGGAACUAGGCAAAAUAGCACCGUAACUUCGGGAGAAGGUGCGCUUACCGUAAUUGUAGUCCCUUGCGGAUGAAGGUGAAGUAAGUCGAAGAUACCAGCUGGCUGCAACUGUUUUAUUAAAAACUUAACUGGGCGUUGAGUUGCAAGGUAUAGACCCGAAACCCGGUGAUCUAGCCAUGGGCAGGUUGAAGGUUGGGUAACACUAACUGGAGGACCGAACCGACUAAUGUUGAAAAAUUAGCGGAUGACUUGUGGCUGGGGGUGAAAGGCCAAUCAAACCGGGAGAUAGCUGGUUCUCCCCGAAAUCUAUUUAGGUAGAGCCUUGAGCGGACACCUUCGGGGGUAGAGCACUGUUUCGGCUAGGGGUCCAUCCCGGAUUACCAACCCGAUGCAAACUGCGAAUACCGAAGAGUGAUACUCAGGAGACACACGGCGGGUGCUAACGUUCGUCGUGGAGAGGGAAACAACCCAGACCGCCAGCUAAGGUCCCAAAGUCUAUAUUAAGUGGGAAACGAAGUGGGAAGGCUUAGACAGCUAGGAUGUUGGCUUAGAAGCAGCCAUCAUUUAAAGAAAGCGUAAUAGCUCACUAGUCGAGUCGGCCUGCGCGGAAGAUGUAACGGGGCUAAAUAUAGCACCGAAGCUGCGGCAUCAGUAGAAAUACUGUUGGGUAGGGGAGCGUUGUGUAAGCGGAUGAAGGUGAAUCGAGAGUUUGCUGGACGUAUCACAAGUGCGAAUGCUGACAUAAGUAACGAUAAAACGAGUGAAAAACUCGUUCGCCGGAAGACCAAGGGUUCCUGUCCAACGUUAAUCGGGGCAGGGUGAGUCGGCCCCUAAGGCGAGGCUGAAAAGCGUAGUCGAUGGGAAACGGGUUAAUAUUCCCGUACUUGGAUAAACUGCGAUGUGGGGACGGAGAAGGUUAGGUUAUCGACCUGUUGGAUGGUCGUUUAAGGUGGUAGGUGGAAUGUUUAGGCAAAUCCGGACAUUCAUAACACUGAGAGCUGAUGACGAGGUGCUACGGCACUGAGUAACUGAUACCCUGCUUCCAGGAAAAGCCACUAAGCUUCAGGUUUAUCUAAACCGUACUGAAAACCGACACAGGUGGUCAGGUAGAGAAUACUCAGGCGCUUGAGAGAACUCGGGUGAAGGAACUAGGCAAAAUAGCACCGUAACUUCGGGAGAAGGUGCGCUUACCGUAAUUGUAGUCCCUUGCGGAUGAAGGUGAAGUAAGUCGAAGAUACCAGCUGGCUGCAACUGUUUAUUAAAAACACAGCACUCUGCAAACACGAAAGUGGACGUAUAGGGUGUGAUGCCUGCCCGGUGCUGGAAGGUUAAUUGAUGGUGUUAUCGAAAGAGAAGCUCCUGAUCGAAGCCCCAGUAAACGGCGGCCGUAACUAUAACGGUCCUAAGGUAGCGAAAUUCCUUGUCGGGUAAGUUCCGACCUGCACGAAUGGCAUAAUGAUGGCCAGGCUGUCUCCACCCGAGACUCAGUGAAAUUGAAAUCGCCGUGAAGAUGCGGUGUACCCGCGGCUAGACGGAAAGACCCCGUGAACCUUUACUAUAGCUUGACACUGAACAUUGAAUUUUGAUGUGUAGGAUAGGUGGGAGACUUUGAAGAUGACACGCCAGUGUUGUUGGAGUCGUCCUUGAAAUACCACCCUUUAACGUUUGAUGUUCUAACGAAGGAUGCGAAACGCGUUCUCGGACAGUGUCUGGUGGGUAGUUUGACUGGGGCGGUCUCCUCCCAAAGAGUAACGGAGGAGCACGAAGGUUUGCUAAUGACGGUCGGACAUCGUCAGGUUAGUGCAAUGGUAUAAGCAAGCUUAACUGCGAGACAGACAAGUCGAGCAGGUGCGAAAGCAGGUCAUAGUGAUCCGGUGGUUCUGAAUGGAAGGGCCAUCGCUCAACGGAUAAAAGGUACUCCGGGGAUAACAGGCUGAUACCGCCCAAGAGUUCAUAUCGACGGCGGUGUUUGGCACCUCGAUGUCGGCUCAUCACAUCCUGGGGCUGAAGUAGGUCCCAAGGGUAUGGCUGUUCGCCAUUUAAAGUGGUACGCGAGCUGGGUUUAGAACGUCGUGAGACAGUUCGGUCCCUAUCUGCCGUGGGCGUUGGAUGAUUGAGAGGGGCUGCUCCUAGUACGAGAGGACCGGAGUGGACGCAUCACUGGUGUUCCAGUUGUCUCGCCAGAGGCAUUGCUGGGUAGCUAAAUGCGGAAGAGAUAAGUGCUGAAAGCAUCUAAGCACGAAACUUGCCUCAAGAUGAGUCAUCCCUGACUUAGAGUCAGUAAGGGUUGUUGUAGACUACGACGUAGAUAGGCUGGAUGUGUAAGUGUAGUGAUACAUUGAGCUAACCAGUACUAAUUGCCCGAGAGGCUUAACU